Molecule: ribosomal RNA, 726 nt
Filed under: uncultured bacterium
Lineage: Bacteria
Description: bacterial SSU rRNA
Rfam family: Bacterial small subunit ribosomal RNA
Source: RNAcentral
GGGAUAACACUUGGAAACAGGUGCUAAUACCGUAUAACACUAUUUUCCGCAUGGAAGAAAGUUGAAAGGCGCUUUUGCGCCACUGAUGGAUGGACCCGCGGUGCAUUAGCUAGUUGGUGAGGUAACGGCUCACCAAGGCCACGAUGCAUAGCCGACCUGAGAGGGUGAUCGGCCACACUGGGACUGAGACACGGCCCAGACUCCUACGGGAGGCAGCAGUAGGGAAUCUUCGGCAAUGGACGAAAGUCUGACCGAGCAACGCCGCGUGAGUGAAGAAGGUUUUCGGAUCGUAAAACUCUGUUGUUAGAGAAGAACAAGGAUGAGAGUAAAACGUUCAUCCCUUGACGGUAUCUAACCAGAAAGCCACGGCUAACUACGUGCCAGCAGCCGCGGUAAUACGUAGGUGGCAAGCGUUGUCCGGAUUUAUUGGGCGUAAAGCGAGCGCAGGCGGUUUCUUAAGUCUGAUGUGAAGGCCCCCGGCUCAACCGGGGAGGGUCAUUGGAAACUGGGAGACUUGAGUGCAGAAGAGGAGAGUGGAAUUCCAUGUGUAGCGGUGAAAUGCGUAGAUAUAUGGAGGAACACCAGUGGCGAAGGCGGCUCUCUGGUCUGUAACUGACGCUGAGGCUCGAAAGCGUGGGGAGCGAACAGGAUUAGAUACCCUGGUAGUCCACGCCGUAAACGAUGAGUAUAGGUGUUGGAGGGUUUCCGCCCUUCAGUGCUGCAGCA